RNAcentral lists this ribosomal RNA (663 nucleotides) under Inocephalus sp. Its description in RNAcentral is "partial large subunit ribosomal RNA". It matches the Rfam family "Eukaryotic large subunit ribosomal RNA", at positions 171 to 822 of the family's 3401-position model. Lineage: Eukaryota; Fungi; Basidiomycota; Agaricomycetes; Agaricales; Entolomataceae. The record is from RNAcentral.
UGGACCGUGUAUAAGUCUCCUGGAAUGGAGCAUCAUAGAGGGUGAGAAUCCCGUCUUUGACAUGGACUACCAGGGCUUUGUGAUGUGCUCUCAAAGAGUCGAGUUGUUUGGGAAUGCAGCUCCAAAUGGGUGGUAAAUUCCAUCUAAAGCUAAAUAUUGGCGAGAGACCGAUAGCGAACAAGUACCGUGAGGGAAAGAUGAAAAGAACUUUGGAAAGAGAGUUAAAUAGUACGUGAAAUUGUUGAAAGGGAAACGCUUGAAGUCAGUCGCAUUGACUAGUGAUCAACCUUGCUUUUGCUUGGUGCAUUUUCUGGUUGAUGGGUCAGCAUCAAUUUUGAUCAGUAGAAAAAGACUGAGGGAAUGUGGCAUUUUCGAAUGUGUUAUAGCUUUCAGUCAUAUAUAUUGAUUGGGAUUGAGGAACUCAGCAUGCCGCAAGGCCGGAUAUUAAAUCACGUUCAUGCUUAGGAUGCUGGCAUAAUGGCUUUAAUCGACCCGUCUUGAAACACGGACCAAGGAGUCUAACAUACCUGCAAGUGUUUGAGUAGAAAACUCAAGCGCAUAAUGAAAGUGAAAGUUGGGAUCUCUGUCAUGGAGAGCACCGAUGCCUGGACCAGACCUAUUGUGACGGAUCCACGGUAGAGCAUGUAUGUUGGGACCCGAAAG